UACAGAGGGUGCAAGCGUUAAUCGGAAUUACUGGGCGUAAAGCGCACGUAGGCGGAUAUUUAAGUCAGAUGUGAAAGCCCCGGGCUCAACCUGGGAAUUGCAUUUGAAACUGGGAAACUAGAGUGUGUGAGAGGGGGGUAGAAUUCCAAGUGUAGCGGUGAAAUGCGUAGAGAUUUGGAGGAAUACCAGUGGCGAAGGCGGCCCCCUGGCACGAUACUGACGCUCAGGUGCGAAAGCGUGGGGAGCAAACAGG
This 253-nucleotide ribosomal RNA is filed under the name uncultured bacterium. Its description in RNAcentral is "partial 16S ribosomal RNA". It matches the Rfam family "Bacterial small subunit ribosomal RNA", at positions 524 to 776 of the family's 1533-position model. The record is from RNAcentral.